RNAcentral lists this ribosomal RNA (643 nucleotides) under Peribacillus simplex. RNAcentral describes it as "bacterial SSU rRNA". It matches the Rfam family "Bacterial small subunit ribosomal RNA", at positions 64 to 693 of the family's 1533-position model. Lineage: Bacteria; Bacillati; Bacillota; Bacilli; Caryophanales; Bacillaceae. The record is from RNAcentral.
CACCGAUGAGGAGCUUGCUCCCUGAGUAUUAGCCGCAGACGUGUGAGUAACACGUGGGCAACCUGCCUAUAAGACUGGGAUAACUUCGGGAAACCGGAGCUAAUACCGGAUACGUUCUUUUCUCGCAUGAGAGAAGAUGGAAAGACGGUUUACGCUGUCACUUAUAGAUGGGCCCGCGGCGCAUUAGCUAGUUGGUGAGGUAAUGGCUCACCAAGGCGACGAUGCGUAGCCGACCUGAGAGGGUGAUCGGCCACACUGGGACUGAGACACAGCCCAGACUCCUACGGGAGGCAGCAGUAGGGAAUCUUCCGCAAUGGACGAAAGUCUGACGGAGCAACGCCGCGUGAACGAAGAAGGCCUUCGGGUCGUAAAGUUCUGUUGUUAGGGAAGAACAAGUACCAGAGUAACUGCUGGUACCUUGACGGUACCUAACCAGAAAGCCACGGCUAACUACGUGCCAGCAGCCGCGGUAAUACGUAGGUGGCAAGCGUUGUCCGGAAUUAUUGGGCGUAAAGCGCGCGCAGGUGGUUCCUUAAGUCUGAUGUGAAAGCCCACGGCUCAACCGUGGAGGGUCAUUGGAAACUGGGGAACUUGAGUGCAUAACAGGAAAGUGGAAUUCCAAGUGUAGCGAUGAAAUGCGUAG